Molecule: long non-coding RNA, 483 nt
Filed under: Homo sapiens (human)
Lineage: Eukaryota; Metazoa; Chordata; Mammalia; Primates; Hominidae
Description: non-protein coding lnc-NETO1-1:11
Source: RNAcentral
AUUAUAUGUUACAAAAAAAUUCACAAGAAGAGAGGAAAUACUGAGGAGAAAAUGGCAGAUUGUGUUUGCUGAAUUUGAUUGACGAAGAAGUCACCAUGAAAAUCACAGUGAACCAUUUGGAAAGCAAACUGCCAAAAAAUAAUAGUUAGUCAUGCUCUCAGGCUGGUUGUUUUGGCUGUUGUGGGUUUCUUGCAUUUCCAGAUGAUUGCAAAGAGCUGUUUCUCAAUUUCUGCAACAAGUGCCAGCUGAAAUUUUGGUACCAGUUUCAUUAAAUAUGUAGAACAAUUUGAGCCUGAGUGAGUUCUGUGGAGCCCAUACUACCUGCGAUUCAAGCCAGCAACCUUGGAAUCUCCCUGAACAAUUUCUAUGGUGUCCAAUCACAUUUGCAAUCACUCCCCACACUCAGACUGUGUAUUUUUGGCUGCUCUCCAAGCCCUUGAGGAAAACACUUGGAGUCAAUCUCAUCCUUUUGAUGCAGUGCUG